GAUGAACGCUGGCGGCGUGCCUAAUACAUGCAAGUCGAGCGAACAGACGAGGAGCUUGCUCCUCUGACGUUAGCGGCGGACGGGUGAGUAACACGUGUAUAACCUACCUAUAAGACUGGGAUAACUUCGGGAAACCGGAGCUAAUACCGGAUAAUAUAUUGAACCGCAUGGUUCAAUAGUGAAAGACGGUUUUGCUGUCACUUAUAGAUGGAUCCGCGCCGCAUUAGCUAGUUGUUAAGGUAACGGCUUACCAAGGCGACGAUGCGUGGCCGACCUGAGAGGGUGAUCGGCGACACUGGAACUGAGACACGGUCAAGACUACUACGGGAGGCAGCAGUAGGGAAUCUUCCGCAAUGGGCGAAAGCCUGACGGAGCAACGCCGCGUGAGUGAUGAAGGUGUUCGGAUCGUAAAACUCUGUUAUUAGGGAAGAACAAAUGUGUAAGUAACUAUGCACGUAUUGACGGUAACUAAUCAGAAAGCAACGGCUAACUACGUG
This 497-nucleotide ribosomal RNA is filed under the name uncultured bacterium. RNAcentral describes it as "partial 16S ribosomal RNA". It matches the Rfam family "Bacterial small subunit ribosomal RNA", at positions 28 to 507 of the family's 1533-position model. The record is from RNAcentral.